Molecule: RNA transcript, 6934 nt
Organism: Myxocyprinus asiaticus (Chinese sucker)
Lineage: Eukaryota; Metazoa; Chordata; Actinopteri; Cypriniformes; Catostomidae
Gene name: protein quaking-like
Exons: 8
Source: RefSeq, a predicted model, not a curated record
GCGAGCGCAGGCAGAGCUUGUCGGUAACGGAGGACCUAAUGCCAAUCUCAUUGAGAAAGACGGGAGGGACAGACGUUUCUAGUGCUGCACACAGACAAGACACAGGAAGCUCUUGGGAAAAGGGACAUUUAACCACCUCAAAAGGAAGUUAAGGACAAAUCUCUCGCUCAAAUAAAUCUUAAGAGGGGCACUGGGUACGCAGGAGUCGCAUUUUUGGUUACGAGCAACUUGUGGAAUUUAUCGGGCACAUUUUCCUGAAAAGAGACCUGGCUUCCCUCUCAACCCGUUUAUAUUUAAUUUCUACUCAUUUAAUUUAAUUUCGUCAGCUGCCCUAAAACAGCUGUCAUCCUGAGAAGUGCGGGUGUUGCAGCAGCGGACGGUGCGUAAAGACCGAGGAGACACCAGCCGCGGACGAGCAACAGACACUUUCACUUGCGGUUUUAUACUAUCAUUAUUAUUUAUAUUUCAGCCUAUUUAUUUGGGACUUUUUCCGGCUACUUUGGGGCGUCGGUGGUGAUUUCUGUGGAAUAUGGUGGGGGAAAUGGAAACGAAAGAGAAGCCGAAGCCGACCCCAGACUAUCUGAUGCAGCUCAUGAACGAUAAGAAACUAAUGAGCAGCCUGCCCAACUUCUGCGGGAUCUUCAACCACCUUGAACGGCUUCUCGAUGAAGAAAUCAGCAGGGUACGAAAGGACAUGUACAAUGACACGUUAAAUGGCAGCACGGAGAAGAGAAGCUCAGAGCUCCCGGACGCCAUCGGACCAAUCGUUCAACUCCAAGAGAAACUUUAUGUGCCUGUUAAAGAAUAUCCUGAUUUUAAUUUUGUGGGCCGGAUCUUGGGCCCGCGGGGGCUCACAGCCAAACAGCUGGAGGCAGAGACAGGAUGUAAGAUCAUGGUGAGAGGAAAAGGCUCCAUGAGGGACAAGAAGAAGGAGGAGCAGAAUCGAGGCAAGCCCAACUGGGAGCAUCUGAAUGAAGACCUCCAUGUACUCAUCACGGUAGAGGAUUCCCAGAACCGUGCAGAGAUAAAGCUGAAGCGUGCAGCGGAGGAGGUUAAUAAACUACUCGUGCCUGCGGCAGAAGGGGAGGACAGUCUGAAGAAGAUGCAGCUGAUGGAACUGGCCAUUCUUAACGGCACCUACAGAGACGCCAAUAUCAAAUCACCUGCCCUUGCCUUCUCUCUUGCAGCGAGCACCCAGGUGCCCCGGAUCCUCACUGGCCCAGCACCCGUUCUGCCGCCCACAGCCUUGCGUACGCCCACACCUGCUGGGCCUACCAUCAUGCCCCUCAUCCGACAGAUCCAGACCAUCAUGCCCAACGGCUCGGCCCACCCCACAGCCGCCACACUGGUGCCGCCUGGUCCGGAGUCAGGCCUGAUUUACGCGGCACCCUACGAGUACCCCUACACACUGGCCCCUGCCACCUCCAUUCUGGAGUAUCCAAUCGACUCCAACGGGGUGUUAGGUGUGGCUUUCCCCACGAAAGGCUAAAUGCGGAGCCUCACUGCGCCCCUCAUCCCAUCUGAGUGUUAACACGCACGAGCUUUCAUUUCACAGCUUCCUUGUUGGUUUAGAAUAUUCUUGGUUGAGAAGCAUGAAUCUGGGCCUAGCAGUCAGCCACACACACUCCUGUUCGUUUACACUGGCUAUUCCCAGAGCCCAAAGAGGCUGUACUUGUAAUGCCAUACAUACUGUAUGCCACCAUACUCAUGCAUUUCCCCUGGAAUGUGCUGCUGACUGCUAGGUUUUAGGGUGGAAUAGAAAGAAAAAUAUAAAUCAAACAUUGUCCUGCUUUACUAAUCACUUAAUUCAUGCCGUACAUUUCUAUUCUCCAUUUUAUGUAGUACUACAGCAAAUGUGCCUAAAUGUUUCCUCUCUGUGCCCAAGCUUAGAGAGUGAGUUUAACAGUAUUAUAUUUAAAGACUUUCUUCACUCGCUCCUGAGCAAGAUUACGUGACUAGUAAAGCUCCCUAGUGAGGGUGUGUACUCCUGUGUGCUCAUCACUAAUGUAUGUCAUACUGUAUCCAAGCUACGUAAAAACCCACAGAUCCACUGAGGAUAAAUGAAACCAUGUGAAUUUUGUACUUGAUAGAUUUGCAUAUGGGGGAAAAAGUAUUAUUUGUGCCUUAACUUGUAUAAUUUGAAAGAAUUGCGCUUGUCAAACAUAUUUGGUCAUACCGAUCAAUUAUGCGAAACCUGUCUGAUUCAUCUGAUAGAAACUGUGAGGUUUGAUUGAUCUGAUGAUCUGUGUUUUCUGGUGAUGUUAUUGCAAUCCAAGCAGGUGCAGUGGCAACUAAGGUUCGAAGACACGAAAUGCGCGUCCAUCCUUACCAAAGGGUAGUGACCGCAGACAGAGCCACCACUGGCAACUAACCCCUGACCUUCUGACCUCUUCACCCAAUGACACCCUGCUCAUUACCUGCCUGCAGAUCACACCUCUGCCCUAAACAUGAAUGAAUGACAGAAAAAAAAAGAGUAUCUCAGAGCCUUCUCUUGUCAAAGGCAGUGGAUAUACAGCUUCCCUAAACCUCACGUGUGGGACACAUGCGGCAGAUGGCCGCCACUAACUUCUCAGAGGGGGCGGACGGUCCUGCCACUGUAGAUCUGCACUCUUUUUAAGCAAUAAGCAAUAAUGAUUCGCCCCGCACCCUCGAAAUCAAAGCUAGACCUUCAACAACUUCUAGUUCACUGCAUAAAAGCUACAUCAUAGACAACACAGGCCCUUCUUAAAGUGGAGGAACACGGACGUCAACAGCCCUCCAUCGCACUCCAAACCCACUGAAGUGAUCCUCCUGUUACGGUAAUGAAUCUGUCUCUGAAUGUAAUGCAUGAUGGUGUGGAUGGUGCAUGCACCUCUGUAUCGCAUCAUGGCAACCCUGUGAACCGGCAAAUAUGUCUGCAGUUCUAUAUCCUGACCGAUUAUAGAAGUGAUUCCAGUGUGGCAACAUGAGUCAUUGCUGUCUCAAUCCAAUGUGUAAGAAGAAGUGUAUUUUCAGAAUUCAUACGAAAGCAUUUCCCUUCCAGAACAAUCUGACACUUUUUAGUGAAUGAGCGUCUUUGAGGAUGUAUAAGCCAUGCUUGCCUAUCUGCUGUACAAAUGUAUGUAAUUUGUAGAUAAAAUGUUCAAAGAAUGGAAAAAAGAAAACACAUGUACAGAAACUUUUAUUAUUCUCCAGAGAACAUAUAUUUUUACAUCUCGAGAUUUUAUAGUGACAAAUAUUGUGACGUGAACAAAAAAAAAGUAAUAUUGAUCCCUUUAUGAAGUGAAAACAAUCCAGUUUUCUUUAACUGGAUGUAGACAUGGAUGACCAAAACAUCCCUCUCGUUGUAUGGAAGGGGUUGAUAGGGAAAUAUAAAAGUGCCUUAUCAUGGUUUCUCAUGGUUCCUGUUUAUUUUGAAUGUCAUCUUUAUUGGUGAAUGAGCAGACCAGAACAGGACACACAGCUUUCCUUUGAAAAACACUACCAGUCUAAAUUUUAGACUCAUUUGACUGAAUUUGUUUCUUGUGAUCUCUUAACUGAAGACGUACACUUAAAUGCUUGAAAUUGGUUUUGUAGACAAAUAUACUGUAUAUUGUACCUGUGCAUGAAUUCAACAUCGUUAAAAAAAUGUCACACUCUAACUAGUUUUUUAUUCGUUUACAAACAAUGUACAUGCAUCACAGGAGAUUUAUGUCAUUUUUGUCAUUUUUUGUGAAAGUCAUGAACAUUUCCACCACAGUGUCAAUUCCAGCACAUCUCAAAUUCUACAUUGAGUUAAAUAUAAUUCUGUGGUGGAAAUGAUGAUAAUGGAAAUGACCUUUUUGGUGUUUUUGAUAUAAAAUGGCAGCCUGAUCUCAUGAAAAUUGUGUGGCCGUGCCAAAAUUUUUGCAAAACUAGAUAAGGUGCUUUGUUACACGUUUGGCUGCAGUUUCCUAGUGAAAUGUCCAGCAGGGGGCGCCAGAAGCGAAUGAAAUGGUGUCGUAAUCAGACAAGGUUUUUAAGGUGAAAAUUAGAUGGAGGUUUUAAUGAGUAAAAUCUACCUCCCUGACCUAAAACUAACCUAACCUAACCAAUAGUGUCCUAAAAGCAAAUGUGACAUGAAAAACCAUUUUCUGAAGCAACCACGUCAGCUCCAGCUUCCGUCUUCCGAGUCCAAAGAACAACACUCAACUAUCAGGUGAGCUACCUCGCAAGCUAAUCACGUUUGAAUAAGUAUGUAAUUGUAGGUGAGUGUAUAAUACAAGCGUUAAAAUGUGUCAUUUUUCAAAUGAGUUAGAGUAAAAAUGUUUCAGUAAAAUAACAUAGCAGUGUGUGAGUAAUAGUGUGUCAUAAUUAACUGUUGUAGUUGUGAUUUGUGUGAAAGUGAAUAAAACGCACAGUUGUUGUCACUCCUAUAGUUUUAAUUUAACCAGGAAACUGCAGCAAACGUAGAAUGCGGAAUGUGAAAAUCAGUUUGCAAAAAUGUUAUGUUCAUUCUGUGAAACUAGGUUGUAAAAUAGCCAACUCCUUCGUCUUGCUACGGCUAAUUUCAUAGCUAACAUUUGAUCUAUCCUAAAUAUACACAGUUGAAUAAUAUUUUCACACUUUUUUGGAUAAUUUGGCAAUAUUACAGAAUGAAAUGACAGAUUACAUGAUUGGAAAUAAUGCCCAAUUAAAAAUAUUCUGCUAACAACUGAUAUUUCCCUUUGGGUCAUUCCUACAGUUCAGUGACAUUUUUGCCUUGAAACUUUUGAAACAUUUAACACACAUUUGUAUAAGUAUCUUUAUGUUUCAUUAUUAAAGAAAUAUGUUAAAGAUUUUAUAACAUACAGUACCAGUCAAGCUAAAUGACUUUGAAAAUUCUGAUGUGUAUCCAGUUAAAUGGGCAGGGUCAGGGUGGAAAAUGACAGGGUGGACGAUAACGGGUUGGACAUUUAAUGGAUAAAUUAGACACUACAUGGUCUGUGAAUGAUAUCUUGCAAACAUACAUGUAAACUUUAUUGAUGAUUUUAUUUCUGUAAACAUUAAUAUUUUGAAAUUUUAUAUAUCUUCCCAUAACGAGAUGGACAUGUUAUGCUUGACCACAUAUGAAUAACAUCACAAAAUAAAAGAUAAAGAGUUAUACACUUAAAAUAACUCAAAAUGAUUUUGCUGAAUGGCUGAUGUCAUCUCCAGUGUGUGUGAGAUGUCAUUUCAUAACAUAUAUCUUCAAUUAAAGGUUACAGUAUCAUGACAUUACAGGGUGGACAAUAAAUCAAGAGGCACACAAAAAACCUCCGCUUUCAGUGUUACAAUGACACAUUUACCACAAGUGACAAAAUGUCACUAACCACUUAAUUGGAUGAAAUCCGAUGAUUUGGCGCUUAGUUUUGUCAAAGAUGUUUGACGUGCAGCUCUGGGGACAUGAAGAAAUGACAUUAGUGCAACAAAUUAAAAUGAUCAAAUAUUUAAAAAUGGACUUUUAAGCCCACAGUAAUCUGUAGCGUAAUUGAUCGUCUUUAUUAUUUUUACCAUUAUUUAUUUAUUUAUUUUUAUAAUAAAAAAUGAAAAUUGCCCAAAGUUGAAUAAGCGACCAUAUAUACCUUUUUGAAAUGGAUGGAUUAAUACAUGGGAGCUCCUUCAAUACUGUUUAAAAAGCUUCUCAGGAUGCACCUCAUGAAGUUGUUUGAAAGAAUGGCCAGAGUGUGGAAUCUAGACAAAGAGUGCUUUAAAGAAGCUAAAAUAUAGUUUUACUUAACACUUUUUGGUUACUUUAUUCCCAUACUUACUUUUGUGUUACUCAAUAGCUAUGGUGACUUAACUGUUAUUCUAAAAGUUAAAAUAUUAAUGUUAUUCUUAUAGUAAAGCAUAAUUAGAUGUGUCCAAAUGUUUGACUGGUAGUGUAACCAACUCUACCACCAUCUUAUACUGUAACAUCCUUCCUGUUUCGGCUGCAAGGAGUCAGAGCUUCAUCCCAGUUUUACAUGAUGAUCCAAUUGACGACCUUCUGUACCACACAAUUAUUGACAGACUCGGGAAGUCAAUGCUGAUUUAUUGCCUUCAACCUUGACUCAUCCUUCAGAAUUGCUCACAGUAUUGGAAGAAUUAAUAUUCCGAUGAAUUUUGCACUUUGUUGAAGUUCAGUGCAUUGUAAUAGCGAUGUGAGAAAAUAUAGAACUGUCCAAAUUUCCAACUAUGGAUAUUUGGUAACACAUAACUAUGGUAAUACAGGUACAUUAGUUUCACUAUUAACAGAGGAUAAGCUGUGUGUACUGCCUGAGCUGGGCUGCAUUAUACCAUUGUAAUGUGUGUGUCCCUCGAAACUCUUUCUUUACUAUGAAACAGAAUGGCCUCUGAAGUCUUGAGGGGAGUCUCAUCGAACAUGUCUACCUGUUGUGUUUGCAUUUCCCGCCUUAUUUUUCUGUUAUGAUUCUACAGUGUCAUAACAGUAUCAAGAUUCAAAGUGUUUGAAUCCUUUGGAUUUUGAAAUGAGAACGUUCUAUUCAUUGAAAACAAUGUUUUUGGCAUUUAAGAGAACAGAAAAUGGACUAUUAAGAGAAUAGAUCCAAAAGAAACUUUUUGAAUAAAGGUAUAUACUAUAUAUACAAAUCCACCUAGAGCCCCCAUCUGUCAUUAGUCGAACAAACAUACAAAAAGUUGACAUGCUCAAAUUAACAGAGGCGUGUUUUAAGAGUGCUACAAAAAAAAUCUUAUUUAUGAAACAUUAAACUGGGAUAGCAGAAAGUAUUUGAACUUCAGUGAAUAAAAAUGACACACUUCACCUUUAAUUUUAAGAAUGAAUUUUGAUCAUGUGAAUGUUGUUUGUUAUACAUGUGGAUAUGUGUCAAGACAUGGUGUCUUUCAGCCCCAAACACGUGAGUUCCCUGCCUAAGUAUUGCCUAUGAAAAGACAUGUCUGUUUUAACAGCCAUUGUUACAAGUUUAUAAUGUAUUUUUCUAUCUUAUUUUAUAUGUAAUAAACAACAUUAAAUGCCUUG